CAGUGGUUAGCACUGUCGCUGGUUCAAGUCCUGGCUGGAUUGCUCAGGACGGGUAUUUUAUACCCACACAACAAAGAAACUUUUGAGGUUUGGGGAGAUGCAUCACUGCGGAUUCUUUCGUAUUGCAAGAAAGAGAAGAGAGCCUUGGAUCUACCAGUUCAAGCAAACAUUUCAUCUGACAGCCUUGGAGAUCCCGCUUUGGAGAUGGUGCUUUAACAACUCUGCCAGCUAUCCUUUCUCCACUGCCAUACAGAUUGUGCAGCAAGAUGGUUCGGCACGUCAUACCAGGAGGCAAAAUAAGAAUUUGUUUAUUUGCGACUUCUAGGUGCAUUAUUUAUGACAAUAAAUGUUGGACAUUAUUUAAUUCAUGUGUGUAUACUUGUAUUUCGUUCAGUACUUAGAAGAGGAGGAGCAACAGAGACAGAACCCUUUUGUCCUGCUGCUUAG
Molecule: long non-coding RNA, 447 nt
Organism: Danio aesculapii
Lineage: Eukaryota; Metazoa; Chordata; Actinopteri; Cypriniformes; Danionidae
Exons: 3
Source: RefSeq, a predicted model, not a curated record